This is a long non-coding RNA of Solea solea (common sole), 1174 nucleotides long. RefSeq lists it as uncharacterized. Lineage: Eukaryota; Metazoa; Chordata; Actinopteri; Pleuronectiformes; Soleidae. The record is from RefSeq and is a predicted model, not a curated record. The transcript has 7 exons.
UAUAAGAUAUGUACAACUGUCGACUUGUUUCUGUUUGUGUACAUUUUAUAAAAUCUGUUAAAAAUCAUUGAAAAAGCAGAGUUUAAGUAUGAAUUCUCACCAAAUUGAAAAGGGUAGCUAAUUUUACAGGUCAAAUUUCUGUUUAUUUUCCUGUAUAAAAACUCACGUCAGUUUUUUGUACAGAUUCUUUUGACCUGUGACGUCCCCUUAAACUCUGUGGAGUCGUCGUCGUCGCCGUUUUCCUCAAAGAUGGUGACUUCGUACACCUGAACGCCGACAAACACACAGAGCUGACACAGAGGCGUCGUCUUCGUUGUAAUCGUCAGAAUCGACGGACUCGACUUCAAACUCCACGCUGAAGUUGUCACUGUCUGAGUCCGGCGCCGUGAGCGGGACCGCGACCUCUGACCUCGUCGACUGAAACACAAAAAAUGACAUGAAAACAUUUCAUCAUAAAAUGAAACGAGAAGCUGUCGACACCCAGCAGCCGACCCAGUGCAUCCUGGGAGCAGUGGACGAUGUGCUGCUGCUUGUGGUCGUACAGUUGCUUCUGGAUGAUGUACUGACCGAGGUAGAACAUCACCUGAUUUAAAGCCAGCAUGAGUGAAAUAUGUCUGGACUUGUCCCGCUUCACUCACACACACACGCCCACAGAGACAGAGAGUUGUCCACAGCAUCAUUUAAACACAUAACUUCAUGUUUACACAGUAAAUUAAACCUAAAUUCUGCUGCACAAAACACAACACUUACGAAUAAACAUUGGAUGUUUUCACAUUUAGUGAAUCACAACACGAGUUGUUAUAGCAUAACAACUACAAGUUAGUAAACAAGCAGAGACGUCACAUCUGAAAAAAACAAAGAUAAAGUAUUUAAAUGUAAAUAUAUAUAGAUAUGUACAGCAACAUAUAAGUCAUUGUCCAGUGUUAUGGCUCAUGUGGCUGCAUGAAUCCAGCGGAGAGGCCGAGCCAAACAAACGGCGGCAUCGUUGCUGUGUCUCAGUCCGGGUUCUUCUCCGCGAGGAAAGCCCGAGGCUCUGCGGCCUGUUAGCAUGUUGCUAACCACCUGCAAAGAGCGCUACUGCUCUAGUGAAAAACACCAAACCCUGGGUGGCAGCAAUGCGUGAGCAGGCGCCCGGGAUUUGCCCCGAAAUUGAAAAGAAGAAGAAGAAGGAGAA